CACAACCACAUGAGACUGUGUUUUCACUUCUAACAGUUCCUCUAUUGGUCUUGUAGGCAUAACAGAUAUGUCUAAGCAUCAGUCAUCAAUUCUGCCACCACUCGUAAAAGGUGCAACACCAAUACAUUCACUCAGAGACAGCUGGGAGUCACUUUUCUGGUUUCUGGUGUAUGCCCUCCCCCGUGCAAGCAAGGAUACAGACAGGUCUUCUAAAGAUGGCUGGGAAUCAGACAGCCUGUGUUUCUGCUAAGGAAUGACUUCCUGACUACCCUUGCACAAAUCUCACCCACCUCACAUCCCAUUUUGGAGCUUCAGAAUGAAAAUGCUACUUUUGUCUUCCUGCCAUCUUAGUUGGAAUGCAAAUCUG
This 367-nucleotide long non-coding RNA is filed under the name Gallus gallus (chicken). Its description in RNAcentral is "long non-coding RNA NONGGAT007965". Lineage: Eukaryota; Metazoa; Chordata; Aves; Galliformes; Phasianidae. The record is from RNAcentral.